AUUGAACGCUGGCGGCAUGCUUUACACAUGCAAGUCGAACGGCAGCGAGGAGAAGCUUGCUUCUCUGUCGGCGAGUGGCGAACGGGUGAGUAUAGCAUCGGAACGUGCCAAGUAGUGGGGGAUAACCAAACGCAAGUUUGGCUAAUACCGCGUAAGCUCUAAGGAGGAAAGUAGGGGACCUAAAUAAGGCCUUACGCUAUUUGAUCGGCCGAUGUCGGAUUAGCUAGUUGGUGGGGUAAUGGCUCACCAAGGCAAUGAUCCGUAGCGGGUCUGAGAGGACGAUCCGCCACACUGGGACUGAGACACGGCCCAGACUCCUACGGGAGGCAGCAGUGGGGAAUUUUGGACAAUGGGGGAAACCCUGAUCCAGCCAUGCCGCGUGUAUGAAGAAGGCCUUAGGGUUGUAAAGUACUUUUGUUAGGGAAGAAAAGCUAGUUUUUAAUAAAAAGUAGUGAUGACGGUACCUAAAGAAUAAGCACCGGCUAACUACGUG
This 493-nucleotide ribosomal RNA is filed under the name uncultured bacterium. RNAcentral's name for it is "partial 16S ribosomal RNA". It matches the Rfam family "Bacterial small subunit ribosomal RNA", at positions 30 to 507 of the family's 1533-position model. The record is from RNAcentral.